RNAcentral lists this ribosomal RNA (372 nucleotides) under uncultured organism. Its description in RNAcentral is "partial 16S ribosomal RNA". It matches the Rfam family "Bacterial small subunit ribosomal RNA", at positions 527 to 896 of the family's 1533-position model. The record is from RNAcentral.
GUAGGUGGCAAGCGUUGUCCGGAAUUAUUGGGCGUAAAGCGCGCGCAGGCGGUUUUUUAAGUCUGAUGUGAAAGCCCACGGCUCAACCGUGGAGGGUCAUUGGAAACUGGAGAACUUGAGUACAGAAGAGGAAAGCGGAAUUCCACGUGUAGCGGUGAAAUGCGUAGAGAUGUGGAGGAACACCAGUGGCGAAGGCGGCUUUCUGGUCUGUAACUGACGCUGAGGCGCGAAAGCGUGGGGAGCAAACAGGGAUUAGAUACCCUGGUAUCCACGCCGUAAACGAUGAGUGCUAAGUGUUAGGGGGGUUUCCGCCCCCUUAGUGCUGCAGCUAACGCAUUAAGCACUCCGCCUGGGGAUACGGCCGCAAGGCUG